GUGAGUAACACGUGGGCAAUCUGCCCUUCACUCUGGGACAAGCCCUGGAAACGGGGUCUAAUACCGGAUGACACUCCUUCCUGCAUGGGGAGGGGUUGAAAGCUCCGGCGGUGAAGGAUGAGCCCGCGGCCUAUCAGCUUGUUGGUGGGGUGAUGGCCUACCAAGGCGACGACGGGUAGCCGGCCUGAGAGGGCGACCGGCCACACUGGGACUGAGACACGGCCCAGACUCCUACGGGAGGCAGCAGUGGGGAAUAUUGCACAAUGGGCGAAAGCCUGAUGCAGCGACGCCGCGUGAGGGAUGACGGCCUUCGGGUUGUAAACCUCUUUCAGCAGGGAAGAAGCGAAAGUGACGGUACCUGCAGAAGAAGCGCCGGCUAACUACGUGCCAGCAGCCGCGGUAAUACGUAGGGCGCAAGCGUUGUCCGGAAUUAUUGGGCGUAAAGAGCUCGUAGGCGGCUUGUCACGUCGGAUGUGAAAGCCCGGGGCUUAACCCCGGGUCUGCAUUCGAUACGGGCUAGCUAGAGUGUGGUAGGGGAGAUCGGAAUUCCUGGUGUAGCGGUGAAAUGCGCAGAUAUCAGGAGGAACACCGGUGGCGAAGGCGGAUCUCUGGGCCAUUACUGACGCUGAGGAGCGAAAGCGUGGGGAGCGAACAGGAUUAGAUACCCUGGUAGUCCACGCCGUAAACGUUGGGAACUAGGUGUUGGCGACAUUCCACGUCGUCGGUGCCGCAGCUAACGCAUUAAGUUCCCCGCCUG
This 757-nucleotide ribosomal RNA is filed under the name Streptomyces sp. Its description in RNAcentral is "bacterial SSU rRNA". It matches the Rfam family "Bacterial small subunit ribosomal RNA", at positions 106 to 875 of the family's 1533-position model. Lineage: Bacteria; Bacillati; Actinomycetota; Actinomycetes; Kitasatosporales; Streptomycetaceae. The record is from RNAcentral.